RNAcentral lists this ribosomal RNA (587 nucleotides) under uncultured bacterium. Its description in RNAcentral is "bacterial SSU rRNA". It matches the Rfam family "Bacterial small subunit ribosomal RNA", at positions 102 to 676 of the family's 1533-position model. The record is from RNAcentral.
ACGGGUGAGUAACACGUAGGUAACCUGCCUAUGAGACUGGGGUAACUAUCGGAAACGAUAGCUAAGACCGGAUAACUGGUUUUCUCGCAUGAGAGAAUCAUGAAACACGGAGCAAUCUGUGGCUUAUAGAUGGGCCUGCGGCGCAUUAGCUAGUUGGUAGGGUAACGGCCUACCAAGGCGACGAUGCGUAGCCGACCUGAGAGGGUGAACGGCCACACUGGGACUGAGACACGGCCCAGACUCCUACGGGAGGCAGCAGUAGGGAAUCUUCCGCGAUGGACGCAAGUCUGACGGAGCAACGCCGCGUGAGUGAUGAAGGUUUUCGGAUCGUAAAGCUCUGUUGCCCUAGACGAACAGCAUGAGGAGUAACUGCCUUGUGUGUGACGGUAUAGGAGAAGAAAGCCCCGGCUAACUACGUGCCAGCAGCCGCGGUAAUACGUAGGGGGCAAGCGUUGUCCGGAAUUAUUGGGCGUAAAGCGCGCGCAGGCGGUCAAUUAAGUUGGGUGUUUAAGCCCGGGGCUCAACCCCGGUUCGCAUCCAAAACUGGUUGACUUGAGUGUAGGAGAGGAAAGUGGAAUUCCACGUGU